AGAGUUUGAUCCUGGCUCAGGAUGAACGCUGGCGGCGUGCUUAACACAUGCAAGUCGAGCGAAGCACUUCCUUCGGGAGGUGACUGAGCGGCGGACGGGUGAGUAACGCGUGGGUAACCUGCCUCAUACAGGGGGAUAACAGUUAGAAAUGACUGCUAAUACCGCAUAAGCGCACAGGAUUGCAUGAUCCAGUGUGAAAAACUUUUGAGGUAUAAGAUGGACCCGCGUCUGAUUAGUUAGUUGGCGGGGUAACGGCCCACCAAGACGACGAUCAGUAGCCGGCCUGAGAGGGUGAACGGCCACAUUGGGACUGAGACACGGCCCAAACUCCUACGGGAGGCAGCAGUGGGGGAUAUUGCACAAUGGGGGAAACCCUGAUGCAGCGACGCCGCGUGAGUGAAGAAGUAUUUCGGUAUGUAAAGCUCUAUCAGCAGGGAAGAAAAUGACGGUACCUGACUAAGAAGCUCCGGCUAAAUACGUGCCAGCAGCCGCGGUAAUACGUAUGGAGCAAGCGUUAUCCGGAUUUACUGGGUGUAAAGGGAGCGUAGACGGUGUGGCAAGUCUGAUGUGAAAGCUUGGGGCUCAACCCCGAAACUGCAUUGGAAACUGUCAGACUAGAGUGUCGGAGAGGUAAGUGGAAUUCCUAGUGUAGCGGUGAAAUGCGUAGAUAUUAGGAGGAACACCAGUGGCGAAGGCGGCUUACUGGACGACAACUGACGCUGAGGCGCGAAAGCGUGGGGAGCAAACAGGAUUAGAUACCCUGGUAGUCCACGCUGUAAACGAUGAAUACUAGGUGUGGGGGGACUGACCCCCUCCGUGCCGCAGUUAACACAAUAAGUAUUCCACCUGGGGAGUACGACCGCAAGGUUGAAACUCAAAGGAAUUGACGG
RNAcentral lists this ribosomal RNA (890 nucleotides) under uncultured bacterium. RNAcentral's name for it is "bacterial SSU rRNA". It matches the Rfam family "Bacterial small subunit ribosomal RNA", at positions 8 to 916 of the family's 1533-position model. The record is from RNAcentral.